This 2141-nucleotide long non-coding RNA is filed under the name Numida meleagris (helmeted guineafowl). RNAcentral describes it as "lncRNA (ENSNMEG00000010090.1)". Lineage: Eukaryota; Metazoa; Chordata; Aves; Galliformes; Numididae. The record is from RNAcentral.
GCAAAAAGUACUUCUAUUCUGUUACAAAAUACUCAGUAGGGACAAUAAAUUUCAACUCCAGUGUUUAUGGUGUGGUAGAAACAUGAUUCUUAUUUUUAAUCUCAGAUAGGUUCUGAAUAUUCAGGAUACAAUUAUGAUAUAUAUAUAUAUAUGUAUAUAUAUUUAUAUAAAUAGAAGACAAAGAAGGAGACUGUUCCUUCUCCUGACUUACUUACACUUUUCUCCUCUUCAUUUGAAUCCUCAAACUGUUUUUUGAUUCUGCAACAAUGUUCAGUUAGCCACCAGUUUCUUCUCAUUCUCUUAUAACCACUGACAUACAAUUAUCUACUUCUUACAUCUUCUAAUAUAACCUUUCUCUAUCAAAUAACUAUGCUUGCUUAUCCAUUUUAGAUCUUUUGUUUCUAAAAUUUCAGGUUUUCUGUUCUGUUCCAAGGGCCCAGCUUAGCUUUUCAUGAAUUUCCUCUUUUCCAGGUUUAUCUCAUUCUCUCUUCCCCAAGACAGCUCUGCCAUCAGCCUCAGUGCUUCCCAGAUCCUUCGAACUUUCGUCCAAGAGACAGAACCGAUGGAUCUCAUUCUGAUGAUUACCACAAUGAUGUAUGCAUGCACUAGAGGGAUACAGUCUAAAAUGAGCCAAUGCUGACAUUCAGGUUGACUUCAGCGGGUUGGGAGUGACCUAAUCUGUGAGACAUCCAUCACAGCAUGUAAGCAUGUAAGUGCAAUACAAACCUCCAUUUCUCUUUAAACAUUCUUUGCAUGCUUCUUUGUUUUUGUGUUUGAACUAAAAUGGAAAAUAUAUAAAAAGCCUCAAUAGACCCAGAAGACGGAGAACAAUUACUGCAUUAAAGAAAACUCUCAGCAGACAGUUUACCUCUAAAUCUUUUUUUUUCCUUUUUUUUUUCUUUUUUUUUUCCCCUAUAAGUGGAGGAAUAUUAUCAUUAGGAAGUGUUACUAAUUGACAUUCAACUAUGUUCCAGUGUUUUUAUUCAAAGUACAUAGUUUAUAUCCUUAAUAUUCAUUGACUGACAGGAUUUGCGGUUGGACUUGAUGAUCUUGAAGGUCCUUUCCAACGUGAGCAAAUUCUAUGACUCUAUGAUUCUAAAUAGGUUAAACAUUUUGCACUUUUCAAAAAACACCUAUGAGUGUUUUAAUAACAAUUGAGAGCAUGUUGGUUUACAGUGGAGACUACAGGAUAGUAUUUAGGGAGAUACACAACAGACAACUUCAUACAUGCUACCUCGGGUUAUAGGAACAACUUUGCCAUGAAAGAAAAGUUACAUCUAGAACAGAGAACAUUUUCAGGUAAGAGAAUGCCAUAUUAAAUUGUAGGAAAUAGAGUAGGUAAAUGCAGUGUAACUAAUUUGGGACAUAGAAUUCCAGCCAGAACAGAAUUCAGAAGCGUACCCAAACAGCUGUGUGAGAAGGUGGCAUACCAGAGAUAAGCUAGAUGAUGUUGUAUGCACUCUUCACAGAAAUCAAAAUACUUGAAACAAGGUCAGAUGUCUUUCAAAAUCUUAAAUAUGGCAAUGACUGUAUCAUAUAUAUAUAUAUAUAUAUAUAUUGUCUUCUACAAUGCACAUGUUUUGAAAAUAUCUUUGUUGCCUUAACCAGCAACAUCAGCUAAGACACUGUAAAUCGGGGUUGCUCUGGAAAUGAAAAAAGGGUCUUUCUGAAGACAGAUACAUUAAAUACUUGCUUAAAUCUUAAAUGAUGCAAAAUAUUUAGUCUUACUGUUAUAUUAGUGUUGUUUCUUUUUUUUUUUUUUUUGCCUUACUCUUUGCAAGGCAAAAUUCAUAACACAUUUCUCAUCUGUAAAGGCUUCUAGGUGAAACUUUAAUUCAGUAAAGAUCUAAUUGCAUAUUUAGACUCCUUUCUGUUUAAGGAAAAACUUAAGCCUCACUACACGUGAGGCUGAGGGCAUAGCUGAUUUCUGAACGGUUUACUAAAAUUCUAAAUAAUUACCCCGGAGUACUUAAAUAUGUCUGACAAUAACUUGUAGAGUUAUGGUUAGUUGAAAAAUAACAGAAGACAUUGUCAAGAUGAACUACAUUUACUUCAGAACAAAAUUAAACUUAUCUCUUUUAGAAGUUAAAGAAAUUCUGUUUUAAAAGUUACUGCAAAAAUAAAAUCAAAGUAAAACACCA